AGGGCCCGAGCGUUAAUCGGAAUCACUGGGCUUAAAGGGUGCGCAGGCGGACCUGUAAGUGCUUUGUGAAAUCCCAUGGCUUAACCUUGGAACUGCAUUUUUAACUACCGGGCUAGAGUACGUCAGAGGGGGGUAGAAUUCCACGUGUAGCAGUGAAAUGCGUAGAGAUGUGGAGGAAUACCGAUGGCGAAGGCAGCCCCCUGGGAUGAUACUGACGCUCAUGCACGAAAGCGUGGGGAGCAAACA
This 246-nucleotide ribosomal RNA is filed under the name uncultured bacterium. Its description in RNAcentral is "partial 16S ribosomal RNA". It matches the Rfam family "Bacterial small subunit ribosomal RNA", at positions 529 to 774 of the family's 1533-position model. The record is from RNAcentral.